GACGAACGCUGGCGGCGUGCUUAACACAUGCAAGUCGAACGAAGAGCGAUGGAAGCUUGCUUCUAUCAAUCUUAGUGGCGAACGGGUGAGUCACGCGUAAUCAACCUGCCCUUCAGAGGGGGACAACAGUUGGAAACGACUGCUAAUACCGCAUACGAUCUAAUCUCGGCAUCGAGGAUAGAUGAAAGGUGGCCUCUACAUGUAAGCUAUCAAUGAAGGAGGGGAAUGCGUCUGAUUAGCUAGUUGGUGGGGAAACGGCCCACCAAGGCGAUGCUCAGUAGCCGGUCUGAGAGGAUGAACGGCCACAAUGGGACUGAGACACGGCCCAGACUCCUACGGGAGGCAGCAGUGGGGAAACUUCCGCAAUGGACGAAAGGCUGACGGAGCAACGCCGCGUGAGUGAUGACGGCCUUCGGGUUGUAAAGCUCUGUUAAUCGGGACGAAAGGCCUUCUUGCGAAUAGGGAGAAGGAUUGACGGUACCGGAAUAGAAAGCCACGGCUAACUACGUG
RNAcentral lists this ribosomal RNA (510 nucleotides) under uncultured bacterium. RNAcentral describes it as "partial 16S ribosomal RNA". It matches the Rfam family "Bacterial small subunit ribosomal RNA", at positions 28 to 507 of the family's 1533-position model. The record is from RNAcentral.